ACUGUUGUCACCUGUGGAUGCUGGUGGCCAAUGUGUCUUUUUUUCAAAGAAACGUCAGUCAAGCCCCUGGUCCACACCUAGAGGAGGAAAAACUUCACCAGUGUGAGAUUACUGCCACGUGACUUCUACUCAGCAUCCAGAAAAAGAAGGCAGAAGGAGAAAGGAGGUGACAUUUACCUACUAUUUCCUGUGUGUCAGAACCUGCAGCAAGCAGAUUCUCAGUGCUUCCAGGGAAGAGUGCAGUUUUCCCAACUUGGCAGAUGAGGAGAACCACACAGCCAGUUCAUAAUAGCAACAGUUUGAUGUAACCUUCCUCUGUAAUGAAUAAAAAUGGGCUCAUCAACUAA
Molecule: long non-coding RNA, 347 nt
Organism: Erinaceus europaeus (western European hedgehog)
Lineage: Eukaryota; Metazoa; Chordata; Mammalia; Eulipotyphla; Erinaceidae
Exons: 3
Source: RefSeq, a predicted model, not a curated record